AGUCGGCUAAACGCUGAAAGCGUUUGACGAGUCCUUGCUAUCGCCCGAUUUCUCAUUCAUAUUCAAUGGCCUCACAACACAGCGAAGUGAUGAAGUUCCAUUAAAUUGUCUCUAAUUUCAAAGAGUUCAUUGAUCGGAUGAAGUUCAGUUAUGUCAAUCCCAUUUGCUAUGACCAAUAUACGAUGUAAUUGUCAAAUUUAUGACUUGUAAUUGUGCAAUACUCGAAUAAAGCCAUGCAUUUUCUUCCGCGGUAACUCAUUAUGCAUAAACACGCAUAACGAUUCUGCGGGAUUUGGUAAUACAUUUGCGCAUAUGAUUAUGGUGACUAAUUUUAUGCCCUUUUGUCGGGUACUUCUGAAAGCAUUGGAAUGUCUCUUACCAAAGAGUUUACCACAUCGAUGAAAUUCAUUUUAAAUGACCCGAAAAAGAUAUGUGCAGUACGUUAAUUCUUCCGCGAGACUUCGCGGAUGAAUCCUAAUUACAUUCUGGACACUUGUCGGCGAACACGCGUGACCUGUUUAUAACAACGCUUCUACGACUUUGCGUGGGUUGAAUUUUGCAGUCAGUAAGCGGAUAAAUUAUUUGGAGAAGAAGCUCUUACUGCUUUCGCAGAAGCGGUGGUUCCAACACUGCGGCGUUGGAGGAUUCGUCGCAGAAGCAGUGGAGAAAUAUGGCCAGCUGACUACAUUUAUGCUGUCAUUGAAGGCAUUAGACUUCACAGCGAAAAUAACAAGCACCAGUUUGAACACCGAUAUUACAGCGGCAUGCCAAUAGUCACUCCGAGAAACUGUCUAAAGACUAGCCAUUGCAGAUAAAAGGCACAGCCACGAGUUCAGCCGUGAUGUAAUAUAAUAAUGUAACACAGGAUAUGAUGAUGAUAAGAGUGGAAAAGGUCUCUUCGUAUAAGAAGAGCAAACAUGAAAAUAUGUUCUCCUUUCACCUUCAUACUACAAAGAGACAUAAACCUUGGUCAAUAAACGACCUUUAUCGAUUAUGGUGCCAAUACUUCAAAGGUCAAGGUCGUAAGGGCUUUGAGUUUUUAAAGUGGUUUCUCCUCAAUAACCUUAGACUCAUUUUGACGUAGAACCCUCAAACUAGUUUCACUUGAAAUUUUCUUAAAAUAAUAUUGUCAAAGCUAUUUUUAUUGUUCUAAAUGCAUUGUUCUGAAAGGUAAUUAGCUCACCACUUUCUUCAUACAAAACAAAAUGGGCACCAUAUGCACUGAGCAAUUUGUUUUAGAAGAACAGUGCCAUGUGUUAUCUUGCACACUUCAUUUGCAAGAUAUAUGUCAUUUCUAUGCAAACAGUUCGUUAUCAUUAUUAUGUGAUCAACUUCCCCGUUAACCAAAAUAGUAUAUUUGUUGUCAAGGUCAACUUCCAACUAUAACAAACGAUCGGGAACUGACUUGAAGAUCAUUCCGAUUUUUUCAUGUAUUCAAACUGUUGAAUGUAAAAUGUUUAUGACUUUUGGUUUUAACAUAUUUAUUCCCAACAAUAUACUUAACUAUAUUUAUAUACUAACAUUACAAGUACAGUUGAUGGAAAGGAUAAGAAAGAAAGACAAAUCUUAUAGAGUUCUUUUACUUUCUUAUCAUGAUCUUUGCUAUUUUAUGAAUUUGUGUUUAAGUUUCAAGUUUGUUUCAUAAAUAUUACAAUGUACAUGACUAUUUGUUCUUUAUCAAAGUAAAAGAUGGCUUUUACAAUAUUGCUUGUCAAAUAAUGUUUGGUAAAAUAAAUAUGUCACAACAGAACCUAUUUCAGUAUCAAUGCAAUGCCCCAUCUUAUGCGAACUCUAAUGUACACUCAUCACAUUUAUGCAGUAAUUAGCUACUUCUUAUAAUGUCAAUAAGUAUUUGUCUGUUUGCUUUUCUCUUUCCUCUUAAUUUAGCGUCAGAAAUGCGGACCCUGUUAUGCAAGCAGUUGUAUAAUUGUAAAAUCAUUGGAAGAGUUAUAAGCCUGCUCUUCAAAACAACUUGCAGUCUUCACUAUACCUCAUAUUAACCAAGUUGUCGAUGAAAACAUUUUGCGACGUCAAAAAAUAUAGGCAACUAUAAAAUCACUUAAAGAAAACGUUUCUUGGCAAACAAACUAA
Long non-coding RNA from Mercenaria mercenaria, 2091 nucleotides. RefSeq lists it as uncharacterized. The transcript has 3 exons. Lineage: Eukaryota; Metazoa; Mollusca; Bivalvia; Venerida; Veneridae. The record is from RefSeq and is a predicted model, not a curated record.